CGCGGCCUAUCAGCUUGUUGGUGAGGUAACGGCUCACCAAGGCAUCGACGGGUAGCUGGUCUGAGAGGACAAUCAGCCACACUGGGACUGAGACACGGCCCAGACUCCUACGGGAGGCAGCAGUAGGGAAUCUUGCGCAAUGGGCGAAAGCCUGACGCAGCAACGCCGCGUGGGGGAUGAAUGCCUUCGGGUUGUAAACCCCUUUCAGCAGGGACGAAAAUGACGGUACCUGCAGAAGAAGCUCCGGCCAACUACGUGCCAGCAGCCGCGGUAAUACGUAGGGAGCGAGCGUUGUCCGGAAUUAUUGGGCGUAAAGAGCUCGUAGGCGGUUCAGUAAGUCGGGUGUGAAAACUCAAGGCUCAACCUUGAGACGCCACUCGAUACUGCUGUGACUUGAGUCCGGUAGAGGAGUGUGGAAUUCCUGGUGUAGCGGUGAAAUGCGCAGAUAUCAGGAGGAACACCAGCGGCGAAGGCGGCACUCUGGGCCGGUACUGACGCUGAGGAGCGAAAGCAUGGGGAGCAAACAGGAUUAGAUACCCUGGUAGUCCAUGCCGUAAACGUUGGGCACUAGGUAUGGGAUCAUAUCAACGGAUUCCGUGCCGUAGCUAACGCAUUAAGUGCCCCGCCUGGGGAGUACGG
Molecule: ribosomal RNA, 639 nt
Filed under: uncultured Actinomycetes bacterium
Lineage: Bacteria; Bacillati; Actinomycetota; Actinomycetes
Description: bacterial SSU rRNA
Rfam family: Bacterial small subunit ribosomal RNA
Source: RNAcentral